UGGCUCCGGCGUCGAUGAAGAACGCAGCGAAAUGCGAUAAGUAAUGUGAAUUGCAGAAUUCAGUGAACCAUCGAAUCUUUGAACGCACAUUGCGCCCACCAGCACUCUGGUGGGCAUGCCUGUCCGAGCGUCAGUGCAACCCCUCGGGGCCGCCCUGCAGGGCCCCGGCGCUGGGGAUCAUCCGCCCCCCGAAGAGGGGGGGAGCGGCUGGCCCUGAAAUGCAGCGGCAGACCCGCCGCAGGCCUCCCUCUGCGCAGUACAGCGAUACGUGCCGCAGCUGGGACCGCGUGCCGGGCCGGCCUGAGCAGGACGUCGUCUCGCGCGCCGCCGCGUGGUUGACCUCGGAUCAGGUAGGGAUACCCGCUGA
Molecule: unclassified non-coding RNA, 367 nt
Filed under: uncultured fungus
Lineage: Eukaryota; Fungi
Description: partial contains 5.8S ribosomal RNA and internal transcribed spacer 2
Rfam family: 5.8S ribosomal RNA (bases 1-133)
Source: RNAcentral